This 77-nucleotide transfer RNA is filed under the name Prevotellaceae bacterium. RNAcentral describes it as "tRNA-His". It matches the Rfam family "tRNA". Rfam says of the family: Transfer RNA (tRNA) molecules are approximately 80 nucleotides in length. The record is from RNAcentral. Lineage: Bacteria; Pseudomonadati; Bacteroidota; Bacteroidia; Bacteroidales; Prevotellaceae.
GUGACUGUAGUUCAGCUGGUUAGAGCGUCAGAUUGUGGUUCUGAAUGUCGUGGGUUCGAAUCCCAUCAGUCACCCCA